GACGAACGCUGGCGGCGUGCCUAAUACAUGCAAGUCGAGCGCAGGAAACUGACGGAACUCUUCGGAGGGAAGGCAGCGGAAUGAGCGGCGGACGGGUGAGUAACACGUAAGGAGCCUGCCUCAAGGAUUGGGAUAACUCCGAGGAAUCGGAGCUAAUACCGGAUAGUUCAUCGGACCGCAUGGUCCGUUGAUGAAAGGCGCUUCGGCGUCCCCUUGAGAUGGCCUUGCGGUGCAUUAGCUAGUUGGUGGGGUAACGGCCCACCAAGGCGACGAUGCAUAGCCGACCUGAGAGGGUGAUCGGCCACACUGGGACUGAGACACGGCCCAGACUCCUACGGGAGGCAGCAGUAGGGAAUCUUCCACAAUGGACGAAAGUCUGAUGGAGCAACGCCGCGUGAGUGAUGAAGGUUUUCGGAUCGUAAAACUCUGUUGUAAGGGAAGAACACGUACGAGAGGAAAUGCUCGUACCUUGACGGUACCUUACGAGAAAGCCACGGCUAACUACGUGCCAGCCGCCGCAGUAA
This 524-nucleotide ribosomal RNA is filed under the name uncultured bacterium. RNAcentral's name for it is "partial 16S ribosomal RNA". It matches the Rfam family "Bacterial small subunit ribosomal RNA", at positions 28 to 523 of the family's 1533-position model. The record is from RNAcentral.